Molecule: ribosomal RNA, 1166 nt
Filed under: uncultured organism
Description: bacterial SSU rRNA
Rfam family: Bacterial small subunit ribosomal RNA
Source: RNAcentral
AGUCGAGCGAUGAGGCUCCCUUCGGGGGGUACAUCAGCGGCAGACGGGUGAGUAACACGUAGGUAACCUGCCCUCAAGACGGGGAUAACGCCUGGAAACGGGCGCUAAUACCGGAUGACCUUAGUUGGGGAAGCACCGGCUAAGGAAAGGCAAUAGCGCUUGAGGAUGGGCCUGCGGCCCAUCAGUUAGUUGGUAGGGUAACGGCCUACCAAGGCGAAGACGGGUAGGGGGUGUGAGAGCACGGNCCCCCACACUGGGACUGAGACACGGCCCAGACUCCUACGGGAGGCAGCAGCGGGGAAUAUUGCGCAAUGGACGGAAGUCAGACGCAGCGACGCCGCGUGGGUGAAGAAGGCCUUCGGGUUGUAAAGCCCUUUUCUGUGGGAAGAGGAAGGACGGUACCAUAGGAAUAAGCGUCGGCUAACUACGUGCCAGCAGCCGCGGUAAGACGUAGGACGCGAGCGUUAUCCGGAUUUACUGGGCGUAAAGCGUGUGUAGGCGGCGUGACAAGUUGGGCGUGAAAGCCCCGUGCUCAACGCGGGGAGGCCGCACAAUACUGUCAGGCUAGAGGGCAUCAGAGGGGUGUGGAAUUCCCGGAGUAGCGGUAAAACGCGCAGAUAUCGGGAGGAACACCGGUGGCGAAAGCGGCACCCUGGGGUGCACCUGACGCUGAGAGACGACAGCUAGGGGAGCGAACAGGAUUAGAGACCCUGGUAGUCCUAGCCGUAAACGAUGGAUGCUAGGUGUGGGAGUGAAGAACUUCUGUGCCGCAGCGAACGCGAUAAGCAUCCCGCCUGGGGAGUACGGCCGCAAGGUUAAAACUCAAACGAAUUGACGGGGACCCGCACAAGCAGCGGAGCGUGUGGUUUAAUUCGAUGCUACACGAAGAACCUUACCUGGGAUUGACAUAUGGGUGGUAGUGAGCCGAAAGGCAAGCGACCCUUCGGGGAGCCUAUACAGGUGCUGCAUGGCUGUCGUCAGCUCGUGCCGUGAGGUGUCGGGUUAAGUCCCGUAACGAGCGCAACCCCUGUCCUUAGUUACAAGUGUCUAAGGGGACUGCCGGCGGGAAGCCGGAGGAAGGUGGGGAUGACGUCAAGUCAGCAUGGCCCUUAUAUCCAGGGCGACACACACGCUACAAUGGUCGGUACAGAGGGCAGCGAAGCCGC